UAAAGUGGACCAAGUGGAAAAAAACAACUAUUGCAGUAGAUGACCCAUCACUGACUGAAUAUAUGUUAUUAUAAAUAUGAAUAGCUUAAAAAUGUUUCUGCUUGAAAAAUCAAAAAUAUUUACAAUUUUGAAAAAGUUUGACCAGAAAAAGUAGGAAUUUCUAUUCUGAGCUCAAAAUAAAAUCAAAACUGUUACCAUAUGACAUCAUGGGGAUGAAGCCGCUCCAAAAGUGUAAGCUAAACCUUUUUUCUAUUACGUAUCAAUUGGUAAUUUUUGAGUUAUGAUCCAUUUAGUCUCCAGAAAUCUGUUUAAAUCAUUUGCACCUGGAAGCAGCAGCAGGCAGACGGACCCAUCAGGAUUUCAUCUGGCUGAACCGAUUCCUGAAACGAGGCAGAUCGAUCGAUAUCGUCUCCAUACGACAUGAAAGCAGAUGCAUCAUCUCUGCUGAAGAAUGACAAGCAAACAGCCAAGUCCCACCUUCUCUCCGCUCCUCUCGUUUCGCUCUUUGGGGAAAGAGGAAAAGUGUCAGAGUCGUGUCUGUUUCUCAUAAUCGUCAGAGUCGGAUUGUUGGAAAACUGCUGCAGUUUGUUGAACCAAAAGAUCCACAAUC
Long non-coding RNA from Poecilia latipinna (sailfin molly), 610 nucleotides. RefSeq lists it as uncharacterized. Lineage: Eukaryota; Metazoa; Chordata; Actinopteri; Cyprinodontiformes; Poeciliidae. The record is from RefSeq and is a predicted model, not a curated record. The transcript has 2 exons.